GGGCCGUUAGCUCAGUAGGUAGAGCACCUGCCUUUUAAGCAGGGAGCCGCUGGUUCGAUCCCAGCACGGCCCACCA
This 76-nucleotide transfer RNA is filed under the name candidate division TA06 bacterium DG_24. Its description in RNAcentral is "tRNA-Lys". It matches the Rfam family "tRNA". From Rfam's summary of the family: Transfer RNA (tRNA) molecules are approximately 80 nucleotides in length. RNAcentral also lists the same sequence under 3 other names. The record is from RNAcentral.